Molecule: long non-coding RNA, 447 nt
Filed under: Homo sapiens (human)
Lineage: Eukaryota; Metazoa; Chordata; Mammalia; Primates; Hominidae
Description: non-protein coding lnc-TMEM174-1:7
Source: RNAcentral
GCCCCAGGAGAGCAGAAACUUCCUUUGUCUACCCGACAGGGCUGAAGCCUCAGAGUCUGGAUCAGUGUCAGGAAAAAUAGCUAAAGUGAUCCAUCUUCCUUUCUUUGAGGAAGGUUGGCACCGCUUCUGUUGCUUCCAGGAAGAUUGCAUACACAUGUAAAACCGGAAAAACGUUAAUGAAGAGAAAAACUAAAAGGUAGGAGGGUGUACUCAAAUAUCAAGUUCUCCUCCAUGUAGUAGCUGCCCCUGCCUUCAUUAAUAGAACCAUUAAGAUCCUUGUUGCUCCCUGUGCAACAAUAGGAAGGGAGCUCAGGAUAUAGACUUAAAACGGAGGACACAGAACAGUGGACGCCAGCGGUGUCCAACUUUUUGGCUUCCCUGGGCCACCUUGGAAGAAGAAAAAUAGUCUUGGGCCACACAUAAAAUACACUAACGAUAGCUGACAAG